This is a long non-coding RNA of Triticum aestivum (bread wheat), 1166 nucleotides long. RefSeq lists it as uncharacterized. The transcript is spliced from 2 exons. Lineage: Eukaryota; Viridiplantae; Streptophyta; Magnoliopsida; Poales; Poaceae. The record is from RefSeq and is a predicted model, not a curated record.
UUUUGUGUGUUGUUUUUGGACAAGUUCAUUUUUUUCUGCUGACAUAGCGACCACACACAUCUUUCCUACACACCCUAAAAAGAAAUCCUCUUUCCCAUUCACGCUUUCACACUCACACAUCUUGCUCUUGCUCUUCCCCUUGCCUUAUCCCCUAUCCCACUCCAAAAUUGCUGCCGCCGGUAGCUCCCAUCAGCUUGAUUCCCUGAUUCAGUGCCUUGAGCUUGCUCGUCCUCACCUACAGCCAGCCCCGCAGCUUGAUUCAUUUGUGCGGCCAUAGCGUGACCUUCGACGGCGGCUGGUUUGUCUCUUGAUCUCCUCGUACGCCUCCUCGGUCUCCUCCUAGGCUGGUAAACGUCGAUGGAGUGGUAGGAGGGCCCAAGGUGCAGCUGCUCAAGGGAGGAGGCGAGAUCAUCAAUCUGCACGAUGUUGUUGCUGUCAAUGUCCGUGCAGGUGAUGUUGGCGUGGAUUUCGUCUCCCACAACUGCUUUGAUCCAUCUUUAGUAUCAGGAUGGUGGAGAUGUUUUCUGCCCCUAGAGCGCCAGCCAGACGCAUCCUCCACAUCGGCAACAUUCUUCGAAGUUUGAAGUGUGUUGCCUAACUGGGAACUAUUGGAUGUGGGGAGAGAAGAAACUUUACCUUGUUGUUGACCGAAAACAGUAGUAAAGCUCCAACCUCUAGGUAAAUAUCAUCCUUGACGAAGAGGUCGAAUUCUGGCCACUUAUAGGGUCUGUGUAUGGUGUGUAUCUCAAGUUCCAACUCUCACCUGAUUGGUCUUCUAAUCUCGCUCUAGCUGGCUGACAGGAGAAUUCAUAUGUUAAUAACAAUGCUCCAAGAGCAAUCCAACCAUCCAAGGCAUAUGGUUUUGGAGAUCAGCUGUUUGCAAAUACGGAAGGAAAAAUACCUUAUAACAGCUAGCUGUGGGGUGAAAGCAGAUGUGGUUUUGGAGAUCAGCAGUUUGCAAAUAUGGAAGGGAAAAUACCUUAUAGCAGCUAGCGGUGGGGUGAAAGUAGAUUGCAAUUUGAUUGCAAUAUUUUUUAUUCAGUUAUGUUUGCACGUGGCUGUACCACAUCAAAACUGAUUGAACCUUCCUAAUCUCGUCGCAAUUCUUUUGCCCUAUUUGCCAUACAUGCCUAUCUCUUGUGUAUUCAUUGAUUAAUUUUUGUUGA